AGAGAUGAGAUGCUGGUGAGAGAGAACGAGGCAGGAAAAGGAGAGAAGGAAUACUAAAUAUAUUUUUCCAUUUAUGUGAUGAAUGUGUUCACAGUACACAAACCAUAGUGUGUGUGGUAGUAAAGAGGAGCAGCACUAGAGGCAUUUUCCAUAGACUGAAGGCAAGAAGGUGGAGGAGGGGUGCUUUUAAGUAAAGACAGCUAAGGUGAAUCCUGAACCGCCAGAAGUAGACAACCAAGUGAAAGAAGGGGAAAGCGUUCCAGACAGAGGUGGGGGAGAAUCUGCAAAGGCACUGAGACCCAAGAAGUCACUGGUUCCUCGGGAGUACAUGUGUUCAAUAAGACUGAAAUCUAUGGUAUAUGGUGAAGGAACUGGGAAAAAACGUGGCCCUGGAGAUAUAAAGAGGGUAUAGAGCGUCUAUGAGAACUGAAUUUCUUAUCAAGACACUCUCAGAUGCCUUUAGAAAAGAGAUGAAUCUCCUUGCUGUCC
Molecule: long non-coding RNA, 489 nt
Filed under: Equus caballus (horse)
Lineage: Eukaryota; Metazoa; Chordata; Mammalia; Perissodactyla; Equidae
Description: lncRNA (ENSECAG00000053973.1)
Source: RNAcentral